AAAAAUGAAGUCAAAAUUAUCGUCGACGAUUUCCUUACAAGAGAUAGUUGCAUUUAUGCCAUUUUUA
This 67-nucleotide transfer RNA is filed under the name Macrocheles glaber. Its description in RNAcentral is "tRNA-Val". The record is from RNAcentral. Lineage: Eukaryota; Metazoa; Arthropoda; Arachnida; Mesostigmata; Macrochelidae.